UAAUACGGAGGAUCCGAGCGUUAUCCGGAUUUAUUGGGUUUAAAGGGAGCGUAGGUGGACAGUUAAGUCAGUUGUGAAAGUUUGCGGCUCAACCGUAAAAUUGCAGUUGAUACUGGCUGUCUUGAGUACAGUAGAGGUGGGCGGAAUUCGUGGUGUAGCGGUGAAAUGCUUAGAUAUCACGAAGAACUCCGAUUGCGAAGGCAGCUCACUGGACUGCAACUGACACUGAUGCUCGAAAGUGUGGGUAUCAAACAGGAUUAGAUACCCUGGUAGUCCACACAGUAAACGAUGAAUACUCGCUGUUUGCGAUAUACAGUAAGCGGCCAAGCGAAAGCAUUAAGUAUUCCACCUGGGGAGUACGCCGGCAACGGUG
RNAcentral lists this ribosomal RNA (373 nucleotides) under uncultured bacterium. Its description in RNAcentral is "bacterial SSU rRNA". It matches the Rfam family "Bacterial small subunit ribosomal RNA", at positions 521 to 896 of the family's 1533-position model. The record is from RNAcentral.